Molecule: non-coding RNA, 665 nt
Organism: Python bivittatus (Burmese python)
Lineage: Eukaryota; Metazoa; Chordata; Lepidosauria; Squamata; Pythonidae
Source: RefSeq, a predicted model, not a curated record
AGGGGCGGGCAGGGCAGCCCCCCCGGCAUCCCCAGAACACGCUCGGGCAAAGCCAACCCGCGUUGGGCUCUCGCACGCCAGCGCCACGCUGGUCUGCUUUGGCGGAGCUGGGUGCAGACCCACCUGGGGGUUGAAGGCUUACGGCUGCCCGUUGGAGCGAAGCCGAGAGACGGAAGCCCGGCCCGGCGCGCGAGAACCGGAGCGAUGCCAUCCAUCGAGUGGCUGGAGAGAGGGCUGGGAUGGCAACGCGGGUCUCAGGCCUGGCUAAUACUCGGCGGGGGCCUACGCGGUGGGCUAGGUUAGGAGGCUGGAAUUGCACCCAGGAAUAAAGCAGCCACAAACCGCGGAUUUGCCAGGAAGACUGUGCGGAGGUGUCCAUGUGAUCCCCAGAAGUGGGGGGGCACUGAAGCUCCCCACAUCUGCUAUGGGGAGACUCGGAGCCAAUCAUGACAAGGAGGCAGGAGGGAGAUUUAAUUCAUCCAUCUGGGGAAGCACACCUGAAAACCUCAAAUGGAAGCUGUUUGUAAACACUGUAAAGAACAAGUCUGGACACAUUUGUUUAAUGGGAAGUGUUAAAUGUUAAGGCCUGGAUGUGCUGAUUGUCUCUCUUGAUGAGCAAUGGUCUCUGAUUUCUGCUACUUAUUUCUAAUAAAUCAUUGGCCCUA